AGGCUGAAAUUCGCCUGUAUGAAGCCGGAAUUGCUAGUAAUGGCAGGUCAGCAUACUGCCGUGAAUACGUUCCCGGGCCUUGUACACACCGCCCGUCACACCAUGAGAGUUGGGGAUACCCAAAGCCCGUGAGCCAACUUAUAAGAGGCAGCGGUCUAAGGUAGAAUCAAUGAUUGGGGUGAAGUCGUAACAAGGUACC
RNAcentral lists this ribosomal RNA (199 nucleotides) under uncultured bacterium. RNAcentral describes it as "partial 16S ribosomal RNA". It matches the Rfam family "Bacterial small subunit ribosomal RNA", at positions 1302 to 1500 of the family's 1533-position model. The record is from RNAcentral.